AUUGAACGCUGGCGGCGUGCUUAACACAUGCAAGUCGAUCGGUAACAGGUGUAGCAAUACAUGCUGACGAGAGGCGGACGGGUGAGUAAUGCUUGGGAAUCUGCCUAUUAGUGGGGGACGAACCCGGGGAAACGUCGGCUAAUACCGCAUACGCUCUACGGAGGAAAGCCGGGACCGCAAGGCCUGGCGCUAAUAGAUGAGCCCAAGUCGGAUUAGUCUAGUUGGUAGGGUAACGGCCUACCAA
Molecule: ribosomal RNA, 244 nt
Filed under: uncultured bacterium
Lineage: Bacteria
Description: partial 16S ribosomal RNA
Rfam family: Bacterial small subunit ribosomal RNA
Source: RNAcentral